GGAAUCUUAGACAAUGGGCGCAAGCCUGAUCUAGCCAUGCCGCGUGAGCGAUGAAGGCCUUAGGGUUGUAAAGCUCUUUCACCGGGGAAGAUAAUGACGGUACCCGGAGAAGAAGCCCCGGCUAACUCCGUGCCCGCAGCCGCGGUAAUACGGGGGGGGCAAGCGUUGUUCGGAAUUACUGGGCGUAAAGGGCGCGUAGGCGGCCUGCUAAGUCGGACGUGAAAUCCCUCGGCUCAACCGGGGAACUGCGUCCGAUACUGACAGGCUCGAAUCCGGGAGAGGGAUGUGGAAUUCCAGGUGUAGCGGUGAAAUGCGUAGAUAUCUGGAGGAACACCGGUGGCGAAGGCGGCAUCCUGGACCGGCAUUGACGCUGAGGCGCGAAAGCCAGGGGAGCAAAC
This 398-nucleotide ribosomal RNA is filed under the name uncultured bacterium. RNAcentral describes it as "bacterial SSU rRNA". It matches the Rfam family "Bacterial small subunit ribosomal RNA", at positions 358 to 773 of the family's 1533-position model. The record is from RNAcentral.